Cucurbita pepo subsp. pepo (vegetable marrow) is the source of this 1569-nucleotide long non-coding RNA. RefSeq lists it as uncharacterized. Lineage: Eukaryota; Viridiplantae; Streptophyta; Magnoliopsida; Cucurbitales; Cucurbitaceae. The record is from RefSeq and is a predicted model, not a curated record.
AAAAAAAAAAAAAAAAAAAAAGGGAAGACUAGGAGAGGGUUUGGGAGGAUCGAGGAGCCGCAGCAAAGACUUCGUCCAGAGUCGAGGGAAGCUGACUUCGUGAAGAAACUUUGCAGAAAUCUGGGAAUCGUCUGAGAACAGUAGGCGAACUUCUAUGGCUCAAAUCUCAUUCUAUGUUGAGACUAAAAUCACUAGCCCUCAACACGAUCUAGAACUUUAUCGAAGGAACCAUAUCGAUCCGAGCUCCGGGUCAAAAGAUAUGAAAAUCGAAAAACGGUAGAUUGGAAAAGAGCUACGGAUUGCCGGAGAGAAAAGAGGCGCCAAGCGGCGGAGCGCGGUCGGCAGAUGGUGACACGUGUUGAGCGUCGGCUGGAGCGAAGCAGCUCCAGCGGAACGAUGAUGCGGGUCACCCAUAGAAACCAAGCUGAACCGCAGCGAACCGGACCGCUGGACAAACCGACCCGACCCGCGACUGCGUGAAGCGGUCCGCGCGUGGCCAUCGAGCGUGCAGCCUGCAUUUGGCGUCCUUUCCCGCGCGUGGCUAGCACGUGGUCGGCGUGUGAGGGCGUGGACCUAAUUGAGGAUAAUCAGUGUUUUUGGACACCCUACGAGCGUAGAGACGCUAGCGAAAGGAUUCGCGUCAACCAAGUAAGUCACCACCCAAUAUUUAGGAAGAAAUACUUGUAGGAUUCGCUUGGAUUACAUGCAUGCUAGUAUAUUUGCCUUAGAUUAGCUUUCCAUGAAUGAGAUUAGGCAAGUCGAUUGUUACGGGCGUAUUGGGAGAAUUACCUGGGUGUUGCUUGUAUGUUUAAGCUUCCGCUAUACAGAUGCACAUGCUUAAUUCAUGUUGAAUAGGUGAACUUCGCGUUUCGGACACUUGAGGGAUGACAUCACCCCGUUGAGUGCAAUCUCUGCUUUCCGAGUUCCUGAUGGAGGCCAUCGCCCCAUUGAGUUUGCAUGUCUAAUUUGCAUGAAUCAUGUGUAAUGAUGUUAGAUGGUGGUUACAUGCACACUGUUAUUUUUUACAUUUGCCUUGAUUAGCUCUCCAUGAAUGAGACUAAGUAGAUCGAUUGUUAUGAGCUUUUUUGAUAACUCUCUAAAAGUAGAGUCAUAUCAAGUCUUUUUGUAGUUAAUACUACACUCUUAUUCACCAUUUUCUCAUUUAUUACCCCAUUUAUUCUACUUAGUGAGCAUGAAAUCGUUUAUUGCGGUCCUACAUGAAAAAAAAAAAUGAUUUGGCAUAAAUCGAUCUUAAUUGUACAUUUAAUUGAGUUAUGUGGUAAAAUUUCAAACAUCUAUGCUGAACCAUGAGAGAGUAGCAAAUUUGGAAACAAAUGGGGGAUGACAUAGAAAUUCUCCACAUCAUCAGCCGUCCAAGUGGGUCAUUGACUACCCAAUGAGGAACAUCCUAUGUGGACAACUUAUUCCUUUUCAGCCCUAAAGAAGAACUCAUGCUCAAUAGAGAAGGAAAAAGAAGACCAAGAGGAGGGUGACACACUUUGGGAGAAAAAAAAAAAAAACAGAUUAGACAGCAGUGCCUCUGCUGUUGUGAACUGCUGUGAAACCAAA